CCUGAUUUUGAGAGAAAUUUCAUUCUUCAGACUGAUGCCUCAGAGAGAGGAUUGGGAGCUGUUCUGUUACAGGGACCGCCUGGAGAGCGUCAUCCAGUGGCCUUCAUCAGCCGAAAGCUGUUUCCGAGGGAAGUGCGAUACUCAACCAUCGAGAAGGAGGGACUUGCCAUCAAAUGGGCCCUGGACUCCUUUAGGUAUUAUCUUCUCGGACGGGAGUUCAUAUUGGAAACAGACCACAAGGCUCUUCAAUGGAUAGAGAGAAUGAAGGACACAAAUGGAAGGAUCACGCGAUGGUACCUUGCAAUCCAGCCAUUCCGGUUCACCAUCAACCACAUCCCCGGCAAGGAUAACUGCACUGCA
Haplochromis burtoni (Burton's mouthbrooder) is the source of this 360-nucleotide long non-coding RNA. RefSeq lists it as uncharacterized. The transcript is spliced from 3 exons. Lineage: Eukaryota; Metazoa; Chordata; Actinopteri; Cichliformes; Cichlidae. The record is from RefSeq and is a predicted model, not a curated record.